This 397-nucleotide ribosomal RNA is filed under the name uncultured bacterium. RNAcentral describes it as "bacterial SSU rRNA". It matches the Rfam family "Bacterial small subunit ribosomal RNA", at positions 954 to 1321 of the family's 1533-position model. The record is from RNAcentral.
GCAAAACGCGAAGAACCUUACCUACUCUUGACAUCUACGGAAGACUGCAGAGAUGCGGUUGUGCCUUCGGGAACCGUAAGACAGGUGCUGCAUGGCUGUCGUCAGCUCGUGUUGUGAAAUGUUGGGUUAAGUCCCCGCAACGAGCGCAAACCCCUACUCUUACGUUGUCCACGCGAGUUAAGUUACGGGAACGUACUAGGAGGACUGCCGGUCGGAUAAACCGGAACGGAAGGUAGGGGACGGACGUCAAGUACAUCAUGGCCCGUUACCGUAGUAGGCGUACACACGUGCUACAAUAGGUACGGUACAGAGGGAGGCGAAGACGUGCGGACAGUGAGCGGAUCUCUUAAAGUACGUNUACGUAGUCCGGACUCGCAGUCUGCAACUACGACUGCGU